Unclassified non-coding RNA from Pongo abelii (Sumatran orangutan), 145 nucleotides. It matches the Rfam family "Metazoan signal recognition particle RNA". From Rfam's summary of the family: The signal recognition particle (SRP) is a universally conserved ribonucleoprotein. It is involved in the co-translational targeting of proteins to membranes. The record is from Ensembl. NCBI's taxonomy places the organism in Eukaryota, Metazoa, Chordata, Mammalia, Primates, Hominidae.
GCCGGGCGUGGUGGUGCAUGCCUGUAAUCCCAGCUACUUAGGAGGCUGAAGCAGAGGAAUCGCUUGAACCUGGAAGUUGGACGUUGUAGUGAGCCAUCGCGCCACUGCAUUCCAGCCUGGGUGACAAAGCGAGACUCUGCCUCAA